RNAcentral lists this long non-coding RNA (363 nucleotides) under Manihot esculenta (cassava). Its description in RNAcentral is "long non-coding RNA (MESC_LNC008213)". Lineage: Eukaryota; Viridiplantae; Streptophyta; Magnoliopsida; Malpighiales; Euphorbiaceae. The record is from RNAcentral.
UUCAUUGCAUCGAACAUAUAGAUAUUAUAUGUAAAUUUUCUUUCUGGGCGGGUAACUUCCUAGUAAAUAAAUAAAAACAAGAGUCAACAACACAAGUAAAACGUCAAUCACAGCAAUAUUGUUCUUCUAAAGUAGGUAAUACACUUGUUUUGUGACUCUUCUUAAAGAAUUGUUGCUACAUUUAGAAUCUUCUAGGAGCAAAACCACUUCUUGUAUAGAUGCACGAAAACUCCUUCACAGCAAACUAAGAGAUAACAAAGGUUGCUAAUGCAAAUUUUUUGAGGCUACCCUUUCUUUUUUCUAACGGGGAUUUGUUACUUUAGGUUAUACCACAUUACCUUCUUGUUGAAUCUCAGUGAUUAG